This is a non-coding RNA of Castor canadensis (American beaver), 6811 nucleotides long. Lineage: Eukaryota; Metazoa; Chordata; Mammalia; Rodentia; Castoridae. The record is from RefSeq and is a predicted model, not a curated record.
UACAUUUUUAACUGUUAAAUUUAACAAUCAUUUUUAUUAAUUCCCGAAAGCUUAAUCACAUUGGGGAAAUUGUUAUAUUCCCUAACGUCAGAAUUAAUCAGCUGAAGCUGAUUGGAAGCUUGCCCUCUCCCACACCCAAUGUCACCAUCUUUGUACCUUGUUUACUUUUUUUUUCUUUCUUCAGUAUUGGGGUUUGAACUUACAGCCUCCCACUUGCUAAGCAGGCGCUCUACCACUUGAGCCAUGCCUCCUGCCCUUUCCUUGUUUACUUCUUAUCUACUAGAACUGUUCCACACUACUGGUCAUGUGGUUCCUGAAACCUGUCUACUGAACAUGCACCCCAACCAUUUUAUUACCAUAAUACCUUUGUUUCUAAUGCUACUACUUAUAUUGUGGGGAAACAUUCAUUAAACAACUUCAUAUACAUGCUGGGGGAAGGAGGGCAUGGAGACAGGUCCAGGCUGCCCUUAAAAUCAUGAUCCUCCUGCCAGCACCACCAUGCCUGGUUCAAGUGCUUUUUAAGAAUGCAUCAAGUAUUUUUAUUUUAAUGGUAUUUUAUACAUCUAAAGAUAAUGUAUUCUAGUGUUCUGUUGGCUAAGUGUGCUGUUUAAGAAUAAUACUUAUUUGAGACUGUUACGUGAUAAAGAUGCAGAGCAAAGCCGCACUGGCCCCCUCAGGACGAUGGCUCCCUUUGUGCGGCGGCAUUUCGAACAUUGUGGAUGGCCAGGGGUUCUCAUCUCCCGUCUUUUCUGUUGUACUUUCGGCCUUGUACAGCUGUGACCUCUUACUACUUCUGCAGCUUACAGUCAACUUAUUUCUUUGACCUGUCUGCAUAUUCACUAUAUAAUUUGAUAAGAAGAAAAAAUUUUCUUCCACAUGCAUCACCUCAGUUUGCUUUUUUCUGCUUCCAUUUCCUGAAGCAGAAGCAGGAGGACUGUGGGGCCACACCUCUUGUCACAAGCUAGAGUUCUGUCCUGCUGGAGCCCAGCAUUGGCCUUGGCCAUGCAGAUAGCUUAGGUCUGCACUUGACCUCGGAGGCCAUUUGGACUCACUUCAUCCCUACUCUUUCUCGAAGAAUCAGCUCAUAAAGAUGUAGGAGAAAGGUUUUCUUCUGUUCUCAUACACACGGUACAACAUGGAGCACUUCUGCAGUCAGAUGUGUGGAGCUUUUUCCUUACUCACCAAGCGAGUGAUUCUGCCGUGAGUUCUCCAUUCAGUUCUGAUGUUCUCUGCCUGGGAAUAGUUACUGAAAGCUGAGGGCCUCUUGCCACAUGACUACUCCCCAUUUCAGGUGCUAGUUGCAAGCAUUGUGUUCUCAGCUGUACUUCUGAGUGACUGGUACGUAAGUUGGAGGCCUCACCGGGUGGAAUUCAUUUGCUAGAAUGGCUCACAGAACUCAGGGAACUGCUCACUUGUAUUUACCUAUUUAUUCUGAAGUAUAUUACCCAGAGUACAGAUGAAGAGCCAGAUAAAGAAGUGGAUGGUUGUGGAGCUUCAGCCCUCCCAGAGCCUUUGUGGUUUAGGUAUCAGAAGCCCAUCUAGCCCUGUCCUUUUGUGUUUUCAUUGAGACUUCAUUGUGAGGGCAUGAUUGAUGAAACGCAGCAUUUAGUCCCUCUCACCUUCCUGAAGAUUUGAGGGUGUGGGUUGAAGGACCCAACUCUAAUCAUGGCUUAGUCUUUCCUGUGAUCAGCCCCUGUCCUGAAGUUACCUGUGGGCAGCCAGACAUCAGUUGAAACAUGAGCAUACAGAAGACACUGUUAAUAAUCCAGAGAUCCCAAGAGUUUUAGGAGCUGUAUGUCUGGAACCAGAGAGGAAGACCAAGUACUUAUUUCACAGUGUCCCAGCUCCCAGCAGCUACUUGCCCAGUGUCUUCGGCCCUCACUGGCAAUCCCUGUUUCACGUAGCAUUGGGUAGCAUCACAUUCUACUGAGGUUCUCUUCUGCUGGGGCCUCCGCAGUUGUUCUUUUCUGAAGCUUUGUAGGAUUGUAUGUAUUUUCAUGAUAUUUUGUAAAAGUAUUAAAAACAGUAGGUUAGUAACAAUUAUAAAAAUAGAUAAAGUACAGGUUUAAAGUAGUAGGGGAAGAGAUGGUGAAAAACCUUGAGAUUUGUCCAGAUUGGAAAGAAUCUUACUGAGCAGCCUUGACUUGAUAUCAGGGUGUUUCAAGUGGACAGUGCAGUAGUCUGAUAGAAGAAGGUGCACAGAGUGCCAGAGAAACCUACAGGGAGGGGCAUUUGAGCAGUGCUUUAAAAGACAACUAGUAACAAGCUAGCCAGGCAUCCCAGGUGGAGCCUCAGCUUGCACAGGUGCAGAGUCUCGAGUGGGUGGGAGGCGCUUUAAGUAUUUUGGGGCCAGAACACAGAGCACCUGUCUGACGGUAGAGAAAAGAUUAGAUAGGUGGUUACCAGGUGCCUCUUGUGCUACACUGAAAGUGUACUCCAUGUUUAUCUUAAACGUAGAGAAAACAGUUGUACAAUUUUAAAUAGGAUAAUAGCAUGACUGUGUUUACAUUUUAGAAAGAUUACCCUAGAGAAAUGUGGAAGAUGCACUGGAGGUUGUCAGAUUGUAUGUACGGAGAUUAACUUGGGGCUUUUGGCUGGGGAGAUGUUGGCAGUAGAAAAGCGUUAGAGAUUUGCAAGCUGUUUAAAUUCAGGAGACAACUGGACAUAGGCUGUUAGAAAGAGGGACAUCUGGGAUGAUUUCUGGGCACCUUUUUGACUGAUUUGGUGAAUGGAGACCUUACUAACUGAGAUAGAAUCUGGAAGGAUUAGGGAGUUGUUGGUUUGAACAUGACAAAGUAUGUAGGUGUAGAUGUCUAACAGGCUCUUUGGGCAUAGUUCAGAGAGAAGUUUGGGUUUGAGGUACACAUGUGGACAUUAUUUGUAUUACAGGUGGUAACAAUUGUGAAUGGGAUUGAGACCUCGUCUACAGUUUUUAUUAAGAGAAGAAGGCUGAGAAAUUGCCAGAGGAAGAUGGAAAGGCAGGAAAGACAAGGGACCAAGCAAGGAAAUGCAGAGGGGAAUGCCAAGGAGGAGUAAUGUCUCUAAUCUUAGAGGAAGUGUGUUUAAUGGGGACUCAGGAUUGCCCCCUGGCUAUGGGACAGGAUUAUAAUGUUGUUGUAAGGAGCAAGCAGUCUUGUUGGGUUGCAGGUGAAUGGGGGUGGGUGACAAGGAUUUAACUCUAGUCUGUAAGGGGAGGCCAGCCUAAAGCCAAGCCUGGGGAGAGUUUUGAUGGGAGAGAUUUAAGAUUAGAGAGAUAGUGGAUUGAAUGGGUAACAAAAUUGUUCCAUUUCACUUGCAGGAGCUUGAGCUGCCCUUGGGAACCACUCAGGUUAACUUGACAUUAUAUCACUUUAUUAUUGACUGCAGUUUUUUUUUCAGGUAAAAUUCAGUAGAUAUGAUUUGUAUCAUUAAAUUCACUUCCUCACUGUGGACACUCAUAUUUCUGUUAUUUUUUUCCUCCACAAAAUGUGCUGGAAAGCACAUCUUGAAUUGGUCCUGUCCUUUCAAGUUCCUUUGUCUCCUCCCCACCCCCCAAAUGCUAGCUCAGGUACAGACAGUGUAGUAUGGCCUCUAUGAAAGCCCACUUCUUGCACUUCUGAGAGUGCCUCAGGUGGCAGCUGUGUGCCUGUGCCUCUUCCCAGCCUUGUCAGACUGCUAUCUCAGAAUAAACGUGCUGAAUUCCUUUACAUGUGAGUGAGCAGGAUUCAGAGGGUACCUUAGCAAAUGUGUAGAUUUUUAAAAGAGGUCAAAGAAUGUGCCUCUCUUGGGGAAUUUCACUUGUUAAAAUACUUACAGAAGCGAGUUGGAGAUGAUAUUUUUUAAAAGUCCGUGUUCUGUUUCUAUAUUAAGGUUAGACAAUCUAGCUUCAUAGUCCCAUGGUCAAAAUAGAAUUAAUGGAAAGCAUUCCCCUUCAUAGAAUACCUCCUAUAAUCAGUCACUUUUGGAAUAGGUUAUAAAAAUGAAAUCUGUAUAUUGUAAGUUACAAAAUGCUUAUUAAAAUAAUAGUCUCCUUCUGAGUUCAGUCGAGAAAGUCUAAUUUUGAGUUCUGUGACUGGCUGCAUCUUGCUAGUCACACUUUUGGGCGGGUUCUCAUAGCUGCUUUUCUAGGAAGAGUGGAACCCACUCCUAGUGCUUCUUAUUAAGCAGUGUAGGCCAUGGCUGACGCCUCAGCAACAAGUUGAGCUGCUGCUUUCUUGUUUAAGCAGAUGUCAACUUCUUUGAAUGAGAUUGCCAUUCUAGUUCUAAAGUGGCCCAUAAAGGGCCUUAGGCUUUUAUGCAAGCGUGCAUAAAUUUUUUCAUCUUGAAAUUUGUAUGACCCAAACACCUUGUAAAAGACUUUAGGCACUCAGAUUAUGAAAUCAGAACUGUGAUUCCAUUAAUACAACAAAAAAUCUUUAUGAAAAUAAUUCAGUAAUUCAGGAACUUUAAAGAUGUUGCACAUUCAUGCAGUGGAACACUGUACAAUUAUUAGUGGAGUUUUUGAAGAAUGACAAAAUGCUUGUAUUCUGUUAAUGGUAAAAGGGAUAUAAAAUCUGUACACUAUCCCUUUAACCAUGUAUUUAUAGAAAAAGUCUGAAAUGAAUUACAUAGUGAAGUAAUGAUCUAAGUGAAGAAGUGUGAAUUUUUCUAUUUCAGCUAAUCUUCCAGUGCCAACGAUCGCAGCGAUAGAUGGACUUGCUUUAGGUGGUGGUCUUGAACUGGCUUUAGCGUGCGAUAUACGAGUAGCAGCUUCCUCUGCAAAAAUGGGCCUGGUUGAAACAAGGCUGGCAAUUAUUCCUGGUGGAGGUAUGAGUUGUUCCCUUCCAUCUCUCAAUACCCUUGAUUUUUUUUUUCCCACCAGAUACAGAGUACAGGGUAAAAAUAUGUUAAUGGAAAAAGCAACAUUUGGGUAAACAUACUAAUCCCAUUGUUUGUCUUUCUAGCAAAGUCCCUGUUCAAAGUUCAUUCUUGUUUAGCUUCUAUAGAUGGUUAAAAUGGUGGUUUUGCUGCUAUGGUUUUCUUUUUGUGCUGUCUCCAAUGCUUAUUAUUUUUUAAAGUUUUAAAUUAUUGUAUUGUCCCAUUGGUAUCACUGCUUGAAUCUUUCUUCUUAUAGGAUUACUCAGCUAUUUUUAAACUUUUAUGUGUUCACUUAAAUUUGUGCACCCUCAGCUGAGAGCACAGUCCAACCCUGCAUGGCAAGAGGGAUUGUUACUCAGCUUUGUGUCUCUGUGACAAAAUAGUUGAUAUAAAUAACUUUAAAGAGAGAAAGUAUCUUGCUCACAGUUUCAGUGGUUGGCUGCAUUGCUUUUAGGACUGUGAUGAGGUGGAACAACAUGGUGGGGUGCACGUGACAGAAGAAACUGUUCACCUCCCGGCAGCAGGAGGCAAAGAGUAAAAAGAAGGCCAGGGUCCCAAUAUCCCAUUAAGCUCCAGUGACCUAACUUCUUCCCACUAGGCUCUACCUCCUAAAGGUCCCACGUCUUCCCAGUAGUGCCACUGGCUAGGGAACAAGCUUUCAACAUACGGACUUUGGAAGACAUUCCACAUCCAAACUAUAGCAGCUUCCUGAGCUCUGCCUACCUUGUUUCUGUACAGCAGGACAGAGGUUAGGGUUAGUGGGUACCCUAACUGAAUUUGAUACUUCUGUUUGUAUUUAUCUUUUGUUGUUUCCACUGGAGAGAGGUAAGCUUUUUUUUUUUUUGAAAGUCUUUGAAGAAAGCACUUUCACAACACUCAUAAUGAAACAUUGCACCUCCAAUAAGUCUGAAUUUUAUGUUAUUUUGAUUUAGAGAAUUUGUAGAUAUUUCCAUUUUGUGAGGUCAUUCUUUCAAAAGAUGGACUUCCUUUAAGAAUUAGUACAUUAUGGUAGCUUUUCUUGGUAAUUUUUACAUGUAAAUGACAGUGUAUUAGCGUAUGAAUGUAAUAACAAUGUAAAAGUUUAAGCUAGUGUUGAGCAUGGCAGACAUGCUUACAUAUUGAGAAGGUUAAAAUUGUUUGUUUAGCCUUAUUAUGAGAGCAUUUAUCCUCCUUAGGAUAUGCAGGUAGAAAUAAAAACAUAAGAUUGAAGAUGACCCACAUCAACAUGUGAGACUGUUCUGUUUUGAUUAUUCAUGAAGAUGCUGUCACUGGUCAAAUGCAUUUUCAUAGCUACCUGUUCUACCUUCCCACCUUGUGCACUAACUAAUGAAAGCACUAGAAGGAGGAUUCAUAAGAGAAUGGAUCCACUUGAGAAGAGUUAUCAGAAAACUAAUAAAACUUGAAUUAAAACUUAAACUGAGAAAAGGGUAAGACAGGUUCCUGAUUUUUUGCUGCUGUUGUUUUUGUGGUGCUGGAGAUCAAACCCAGGGCCUUGCGAAUGCUAGGCAAGUACUCCACUACUGAACUACAUCCCCAGCAUUGAAAUUCUUAAGCAUUUAUUGCUAAUUCGAAUAUUUACUAAUCCUAGGAAGAUAGUGGCUCUAGUGGGUUGAAGAUGUAUCAUCCUGGAACCUGUAAUGUGACUGUUAGAGAGAGGAUCAUUGCACAUGUAAUUAAAGGAUCUAGAGAUGAAAUCAUCCUGAGUUAUCUAAGUGAGCCUUAAAUCAAAUGACAAACUAUACUGAUAAGAAAGAGAGAGACAUACAGAAGAGAAGAUACUGGGAAGACGGAGGGGAAUAAUGCAUCUACAAGCCUAGGAAUGCUGAGGCUGACUUGCAACUGCCAGAAGCUGGGGGAGAGAGGCAUCGAACUGAUGCUUGCUCAGAGUCCGGAAGGAACCAGCCCUGCAGACACCUUGAUUGUAAAUUUCUGUUCUCCAAAACUGCAAGAGAAUAAAAUUUCUGUUCAAAGAUAA